UACGAAGGGGGCUAGCGUUGCUCGGAAUCACUGGGCGUAAAGGGUGCGUAGGCGGGCAGGUAAGUCCGUGGUGAAAUCUCCGAGCUUAACUCGGAAACUGCCAUGGAUACUAUUUGUCUUGAAUGUUGUGGAGGUGAGCGGAAUAUGUCAUGUAGCGGUGAAAUGCUUAGAUAUGACAUAGAACACCAAUUGCGAAGGCAGCUCACUACACAAAUAUUGACGCUGAGGCACGAAAGCGUGGGGAUCAAACAGG
RNAcentral lists this ribosomal RNA (253 nucleotides) under uncultured bacterium. RNAcentral's name for it is "partial 16S ribosomal RNA". It matches the Rfam family "Bacterial small subunit ribosomal RNA", at positions 524 to 776 of the family's 1533-position model. The record is from RNAcentral.